AUGAGUUGGGUACCAAAAGCCAUGUCUCGGGCUGCCGAGAGCGGCGCGUCUGCCCAAAGCGGCCCGUGUCCCCAUCUCCCUCUCGGUCUCCGGAUCUCCGCGCCCCGCAAGCCGCUCGGCUCCCGCGGCCGGCAGGACCGCACAAAGCCAGCGAGCCUUACCACGGAUCCGGCGUCCACCGGCGCUCGGCGGGCCUGCGGGGGACGGACGCCUGCCGAGGGUGGGCCGGGGUGGCUCCCCGGGCGCCGGCAGGAGAGACCUCCGGCCGCCCGCCUAGGCGGGGGUGAGGGGCUCCGCGGAGAGACGCGGUCACUGCCGCCCCCUGUGCGCUACCUCGGGCCGGCGGGGACGCGGCCGGAGGGGCUGCCGGCGGUGGCGCGUACCGCAAUGUUUUGCCGCAUCCCGGAGCCGACACGCAGCCCCCUCCCGGGUCCCGGGCCCAAGCAGCGGCCUCGUGGGUCGGGCAGCGGAGGCGGGGACCGCUCGGGAUGUCGCGGGGGGCCUUCAGCCCCGCUGCGCACACAUCUCUCCGCGCGCUCCCGUCCCACAAGGGGCAGCUAUUGGAGUUUCCGUCGGCCUCUAGACCCGGGCGUGCGGCGGUUGAGGGGUAAGAGACCGCCAGCCCAAGCCACGAGGCCGCGGGCCACCGGGGCGUCACUGGCCCGCUUGUCACACAGGCAGAGUGACCCGGUGGCUCCGUGGCCGAGAGCGGCGGUCCGGGCAGCCCCCUGCCCCCCCACCCUCCCACAUUCCCCCUCCCCCCCUCCCCCCCGCUGCCCAGGCACAAAAUGCUGCUCUCACCACGCCAGAAAUCAGCUCAACAUUUGGGCAUCUUGCAAAGUCGCGCUGCCAGCACUUGCCCGGCUUUGCAGGGCUUUUAGAGUUAGCUACCGGCUUCUCUCGUAUUCCCAGUGUUGCAGGGUGCCAGCAGUCUCGGGCCAGCUCCCGGGCCACCGCCGGGAGCCCCAGACCCACGUCCGCCUAGAGUGCUUGCGAGGGGGGCGCAGAAAACAAAGCCAGCGCAGCGGCCCCGACAGCCCGAGCCGCCCUAGACCAGGACACUUUCCCCGCCGGGGAGGCAGCGAUGUUAAGGACACCGGAUUCUUUGGGUCCUCGGGGACCCGCGACCGCGCCGUGGGCAGGCAAGCAGGGUGGUGCUGGAGUAGCCACUGUGGUCGCUUUGGCCACUCCGCCGGCCCCAAACCAACACGACCCAAACUAAAAAUAAUAAGCUACCUGCCCCCCUCCGCGCGCACGCGCGCGCGCACACACACACACACACACACGCGCGCGCGCGCGCGCGCGCGCGCUGCCGAGCCAAGCGGGAAGAGGCAGCGAGUGUCGGUGCAGCUCGCGCAGCCCCGCUGGUAA
Molecule: long non-coding RNA, 1371 nt
Filed under: Felis catus (domestic cat)
Lineage: Eukaryota; Metazoa; Chordata; Mammalia; Carnivora; Felidae
Description: lncRNA (ENSFCAG00000047436.1)
Source: RNAcentral